Trichonephila clavipes is the source of this 73-nucleotide non-coding RNA. The record is from the annotation of a GenBank genome assembly. Lineage: Eukaryota; Metazoa; Arthropoda; Arachnida; Araneae; Nephilidae.
GUCCCUGUAGCGCAAUGGAUAGCGCGUUGGACUACUAACCCAAAGGUCGCGGGUUCGCUUUCCGCCUGGGAUG